Molecule: unclassified non-coding RNA, 3135 nt
Filed under: Amphibalanus amphitrite
Lineage: Eukaryota; Metazoa; Arthropoda; Thecostraca; Balanomorpha; Balanidae
Description: golgi resident protein GCP60-like, transcript variant X3
Source: RNAcentral
AGGUUAGGUUGUAGGUUUUAGGUUUUAGCCUGGUUGAGACUGUUGGUCUUCUAGCCACCCAUCAGUCCAGCCGCAAUGGCCACAGAUGAUGUCAAGGAAGCCACUGAGGGUGUUGGAGCACUUAGUGUCACUGAGAAGGCCAGCAAUGGAGUCUCAGAAAAGUGGGGACUUGAGCUGCAGCAUCUCUACCACUUGGCUGUCAAGUUUUACAAAGACAACUCUGGCAAGGUGCUGCAGCCGAGUUACGAGCAGAAGCUGCAGCUGUCGGCUCUGCAGCAGCAGUCAGUCCACGGGCCGUGCCGACCGGACGCGCUGCCGCCGCUCGGAGUGCUGGACGUCAUCGGACGCGACCGCAGACAGGCGUGGCAGGCGCUCGGUGAACUGAGCCGACCCGAGGCCAUGACUCGCUACAUUGAGCUGCUAGACUCUGUGUGUGCUACGUUCCGGCCGUACGCGGAGGCACACAAGUGUGACCUGGAGGCCAAACAGCGGAAACUAGAAGAGGCGCAGAACUCUGCCCGCCAGGAGCUGCAGGAGCAGGAGGAGGGUCGCCAGCGGCUGGAGCAGAUGGCCAUUCAGCAGGAGCAGGAGGAGGCUAGGAGACAGGAGGAGACCAAACGACACAUCAAGGAGGCUCUGAACCAGCAGACGCGGGCCCAGUUUCGGGCCUACGCCGAACAGCAGUACCCGGGCAGCCCUGAUCAGCAAGCGGUGCUGAUCGAGCAGCUUCAGGAGCAGCACUAUCAGCAGUACAUGCAACAGCUGUACCAGCAGCAGCUCCAGCAACAGCAGCAGCAGCAGCGGCCGGCACCGGUAGAGACCAGUGGAGGUGGGGCGGCCGAACCCCAGCCGGCUGGAGCGUCCGACCACGCCGCAGAGCCCGCCGCGCCCGCUGUGCCCGCCGCGCCGGCCAGUUCACAGGGCGACGCUGCCGGGACGGGGACAGGAGCCGCAGUGCCACCGCCAGUGAGUGCCGCCAUGGCCGCCGUCCAGACCCCAGAGACGGAGGCUCUGCUGGAGUCGGGAGCCGACAGGUCACUCCGGGAGACGGACGGACUGUUGGCAGAGUCGGCGGGCGAGGAGUCCGACUCCGGAGACGAGCAUGUGCCCGACGUCGGCUCUGCCAGUAUGUGGACGCGCAAGGACCUUGCCGAGUUCAAACAGGCCAUCAAGGCCGAGGGAGGUGACGCAGUACUCAAGGUCGGCCACGGAGAGACGGUCACGAUCCGUGUACCUACCCACGAGGACGGCACGUGCCUGUUUUGGGAGUUCGCCACGGACAGUUACGACAUCGGCUUCGGCGUGUUCUUCGAGUGGGGUCCCUCAGAGGACAGCGAGGUGACCAUCCACAUCAGCGAGAGCGAGGAUGAGGACGAGGACCCCGAGAAUGCCGACGAUCCGGAGCGGGGCGCUCACGCGGCCGCCGAGGACCGUCCGCUAACCACCUGUGUGAUUCCCGUGUACCGGCGGGACUGCCAUCAGGAGGUGUACGCCGGAUCGCAUGUCUAUCCUGGACAGGGCGUGUACCAGCUCAAAUUCGACAACUCCUACAGUCUAUGGCGCUCCAAGACGCUCUACUAUCGAGUCUACUACACGCGGUGAAAGGCCCACGAGCGCUCACCCGGCUGUGUAGCGCCGCGGCGCCGGUCAGUGUGGGGUCUGGAUGAUCCAGCCCGGAGUGGUGGUGGGUGAUCCACCGAGUUACCAGCGCUCUGAGGCAGCGGACCGCUGAGGCUACUGCUGUAAGGGCUGGCAGGUGGAUAUUGAUGGAGUGAUGGGAACAAGAGGCUAGGUUCUGUCAGAGCUGAGGUAGAUUCUAUGCUGUAGUGGUUUCAGCCUUGUCAGCGAGGCUGAGAGACGUGUGUGGGCACUGGAUUUUGGGUAGUGGACUGGUGACGGCAGAUGAAUGGCUGCCUGUGGAUGACUGGGAGUGAAGUGGAUAUUCCACACCGUUUUGUGGUACUCAGAGGUGGACGUCACUGUGCAAUGUAAUUAUAUGGGCAAGCAAUGUUACGUUACACGGAAUCCUGUAUACUCACUAGUCACUGGACCCAUGGGGCGGUGGACUGUUGGAUCGUGUAGUAUUACCACCAACUGUCCCAGUGCGCUCUGCUGCGACCUUCUUUCCGUGGCCCUCUCAGCUCCGCCAACGUACGGCCAUCCUAGUACCGUGUCCAGGCCCGUGCAGCUCUGCCCGUAGUCCUCUAGUACCGCUUUCCACCUCCCAUCUGUACUCUCUGGCGCUCGCAGCCCCGCCGGCCGUCCCAGUACCGCCAUCUGCCCCUUUUAGCUCUCUGCAGUGACGACUAGCCAACCUGAUCGGCCGGUAGUGAGCCUUUCAGAACUAUCACGGAUAUCUCCCAGCUGACUACUCCGGCAGGGGAAGUCAUCAUCGGACAACUGCACGGCGCCUCACAGACUGACUGCUCCACCUGAUCGGACUAGAAAGAACGGAGAUUGCGCCGCCCCUGUCGCCCGCCGCUGGUGGGCGUUCAACGGAAAUGUGCAGUAGAUACUGUGUGCGGCACAUACUGUAUGGAGUCGUUUGGGAGACUCUUCAUUGAGCGGAGAUACGACUCAAUCUGUCCGACCCAUGGUUGGAUCAGAUCCCUGUGUGUCCCCUGCCCCGGGCAUUUCAUGUGUUGUUCUGUUGUUUUGUAGAUGUUUAUGUUGCGACGCUGUCUGAGUCGCGAUUCCUGUAAUGAAUGGUGUGACUGUUUGGUGUUUGGGUGUCCCCCGAUGUGUGGGGCAGGGCUAGUGUGAAACAUGCUACAGCCACGCCGGGUUUGGCUAGGGAGAGGUCUUACUGUAUCUGAUGAUUGUGAGCAAGGCGUGGUAAUUUUAAGAAACGAUCUACCGCCGCCAGCGCCACCACUCGUGUACUUGUGUUUCUCGGACUGUUCGUCGGAGGGCAGCACUGGUCGGUUGUGUAGCGUUAUUGGACGGGCCGUGAUGUCGCUUCUCUGGGCGUUCGUUGUCGCAAUGGCUGUCCCGUGGACUGCCGUUUGCGUCGCAGCACCGUAGAGUGCUCAGAGGCUCUGGGCAUUUGAGUCGUAUGGAUGAACGGGCUUUAAAGUGUAUAACCAAUUACAUGUGUGAGUGUGUCCGUGGAAUACAGCUAUGUUGUAUCUUACA